Non-coding RNA from Salvelinus sp. IW2-2015, 529 nucleotides. The record is from RefSeq and is a predicted model, not a curated record. NCBI's taxonomy places the organism in Eukaryota, Metazoa, Chordata, Actinopteri, Salmoniformes, Salmonidae.
CAAGAUGGCGGCAUCCAGAUCCUUGAAGCCCACCUCCACCUUGUCGGUGGGGAUGACCUCUGUGGAUGAAGAAAGGGGGUGGGGUAACGGCUCAUCUGGGUGUACAUGAAGAUUAGAGAAGGACAAACAGUCUCUGUGUGGAAAAUGCCCUUAGGAUGAACUUCAGUCAGGGCUCAUUGGUGUACGAGAUGUCUUGUACCCCACCUCCCCUAUUGUUGCCCCACCACUCCCAGGAUUGGUUGGAAUUUCAUACAGGCCCUUGGGAACCGACUAAUAGGAGGCCUCUUUUCUGACACUCCUUCCACCAGCAGUCUGUUGUGGACCGUCCCUGCUGCUGUGAAGUUAGGGCUAUUGGAAAAGUACCGCAGCAGCAGGGAGGUACAAACAGAUAUAGAGUCCAUACACACACAAUGCAUUUUAAAUAUGUUUCAGAUGGGGGAGGACACAAUGUAAAUCAUGCCAAAAAGCAUGCCUAUGUAUGUUCUCACGACCAGCCCAGGCAGAAUAGAAAAGCAUUGCUCACCCCUCA